UGUAAGCGUAUACCAAAGUUGUUGCAGUUAAAACGCUCGUAGUCGGAAUUUGGCAGUUCCGGAUGUGUGCACGUCGUGUGCGCACUUCGCGGGGAUUGCUUUUGUGGUCUUGCGUAGGAUGAGGCACUUUUAUUAGUGAACGUCCUCACGCAACCACUUUUUACUGUGAGAAAGUCAGAGUGCUCAAAGCAGGCACUUGCCGUGAAUGUAUUAGCAUGGAAUAAUAGAAUAGGACUUGGUUCUAUUUUGUUGGUUUGUUGGGACUGAGUAAUGAUUAAGAGGGACAGUUGGGGGCAUUUGUAUUUCGGUGCUAGAGGUGAAAUUCUUAGAUUACCGAAAGACAAACUGCUGCGAAAGCGUCUGCCAAGGAUGUUUUCAUUGA
This 382-nucleotide ribosomal RNA is filed under the name uncultured eukaryote. RNAcentral describes it as "partial 18S ribosomal RNA". It matches the Rfam family "Eukaryotic small subunit ribosomal RNA", at positions 592 to 976 of the family's 1831-position model. The record is from RNAcentral.